CUUUAUGGCGGGCCGUGCGGGCAGUCUUCGGACUGGCCGGUUUUCCUUUUGUCCGGUAAUUGUGGACCCGUACAGCCCGUCUCCCUA
RNAcentral lists this non-coding RNA (87 nucleotides) under Candidatus Kentrum sp. G. Lineage: Bacteria; Pseudomonadati; Pseudomonadota; Gammaproteobacteria. The record is from RNAcentral.